AGAUUAUGGAUCGUGCUGCCAAGCGGUUUGAUAAACAGCGUAUUGUCAUUCAGCACCACAUCGCCUGUGGCCUUAACCAGUUCGCCUGUAAACGGAAUAUCAAGAUGUAAGCGAGCAUUCACAUCGCCAUCAAGCUGGAGUUCAUCCAGCGCAGCGGCGAGAGAGUCAUCUAAGGGUGUCUCUUUAAAAUAGGGACCGACCGCUUUACCUGGCCCGGAAAUAUCGGCAUCGAUAAUCAGUUUUUCUUUUUCAUAGUCAGGAAUGUUGGCGCUGAUAUUGCGCCCUUUUACGCCGCCCAGCAUGGCUUCCGGGGACUUCAUCCAUAACCCGUCAUUGAUAAAGUCGAGUUCAAUCUCAAUGCCUUUUAACGCAGGCCAGUCAGGCUGAAAGGCAUAGGUGGCGUUAUGUACCGGCACC
This 417-nucleotide non-coding RNA is filed under the name Atlantibacter hermannii. Lineage: Bacteria; Pseudomonadati; Pseudomonadota; Gammaproteobacteria; Enterobacterales; Enterobacteriaceae. The record is from RNAcentral.